UGGGGAAUUUUGGACAAUGGGCGCAAGCCUGAUCCAGCCAUGCCGCGUGUCUGAAGAAGGCCUUCGGGUUGUAAAGGACUUUUGUCAGGGAAGAAAAGGAUAGGGUUAAUACCCCUGUUUGAUGACGGUACCUGAAGAAUAAGCACCGGCUAACUACGUGCCAGCAGCCGCGGUAAUACGUAGGGUGCGAGCGUUAAUCGGAAUUACUGGGCGUAAAGCGAGCGCAGACGGUUACUUAAGCAGGAUGUGAAAUCCCCGGGCUCAACCUGGGAACUGCGUUCUGAACUGGGUGACUAGAGUGUGUCAGAGGGAGGUAGAAUUCCACGUGUAGCAGUGAAAUGCGUAGAGAUGUGGAGGAAUACCGAUGGCGAAGGCAGCCUCCUGGGAUAACACUGACGUUCAUGCUCGAAAGCGUGGGUAGCAAACAGG
RNAcentral lists this ribosomal RNA (429 nucleotides) under Bacillota bacterium. Its description in RNAcentral is "Firmicutes bacterium partial 16S ribosomal RNA". It matches the Rfam family "Bacterial small subunit ribosomal RNA", at positions 355 to 776 of the family's 1533-position model. Lineage: Bacteria; Bacillati; Bacillota. The record is from RNAcentral.